GGGGUUGUAGCUCAGAGAUAGAGCACUCACCUAGCAUGUGUGAGGCCCUGGGUUUGAUCCUCAACACCA
Molecule: transfer RNA, 69 nt
Filed under: Ictidomys tridecemlineatus (thirteen-lined ground squirrel)
Lineage: Eukaryota; Metazoa; Chordata; Mammalia; Rodentia; Sciuridae
Description: Spermophilus tridecemlineatus (thirteen-lined ground squirrel) tRNA
Rfam family: tRNA
About the family: Transfer RNA (tRNA) molecules are approximately 80 nucleotides in length. Their secondary structure includes four short double-helical elements and three loops (D, anti-codon, and T loops).
Source: Rfam by way of RNAcentral